CCUACGGGUGGCAGCAGUGAGGAAUAUUUGUCAAUGGACGCAAGUCUGAACCAGCCAUGCCGCGUGCAGGAAGACGGCUCUAUGAGUUGUCAACUUCUUUUGUACGAGGGUAAACGCAGAUACGUGUAUCUUUCUGAAAGUAUCGUACGAAUAAGGAUCGGCUAACUCCGUGCCAGCAGCCGCGGUAAUACGGAGGAUUCAAGCGAUAUCCUGAUUUAUUGGGUUUAAAGGGUGCGUAGGCGGUCGGAUACGUUAGAGGUGAAAUCCCGAGGCUCAACUUCGGAAUUGCCUCUGAUACUGUUCGGCUAGAGAGUAGUUGCGGUAGGCGGAAGGUAUGGUGUAGCGGUGAAAUGCUGAGAGAUCAGACAGAACACCGAUUGCGAAGGCAGCUUACCAAGCUACUUCUGACGUUGAGGCACGAAAGCGUGGGGAGCAAACAGGAUUAGAUACCCUUGUAGUC
RNAcentral lists this ribosomal RNA (460 nucleotides) under uncultured bacterium. Its description in RNAcentral is "partial 16S ribosomal RNA". It matches the Rfam family "Bacterial small subunit ribosomal RNA", at positions 338 to 795 of the family's 1533-position model. The record is from RNAcentral.